This 468-nucleotide ribosomal RNA is filed under the name uncultured bacterium. Its description in RNAcentral is "partial 16S ribosomal RNA". It matches the Rfam family "Bacterial small subunit ribosomal RNA", at positions 28 to 507 of the family's 1533-position model. The record is from RNAcentral.
GACGAACGCUGGCGGCGUGCCUAACACAUGCAAGUCGAACGGACAGGUCCUGCUUUUGUGCGGAGCUCGAGUGGCGAACGGGUGAGUUACACGUGAGUAACCUGUACCUGACUUAGGGUUAUCUUCAGGAAAAUGGGGCUCUUACCGGAUAGGAGUUCUUGCCGCAUGGUGGGGGUUGGAAAGUUUCGGUGGUUGGGGAUGGAAUCGCGGCUUAUCAGCUUGUUGAUGGGGUAGUGGCUUACCAAGGCUUUGACAGGUAGCAGACCUGAGAGGUUAACCUGCCACAUUACGACUGAGAUGCGGCCCAGACUCCUACGGUAGGCAACGGUGGGGAAUAUUGCACAGUGGGCGGAGGCCUGAUGCGGCGACGCCGCGUGCGGUAUGACGGCCUUCUGGUUGUAAACCACUUUCGCCUGUACCGGAACGUGAUUGACGGUAAUGGGUAAAGAAGCACCGGCUAACUACGUG